GAGAGCCGGAACUGUUUCAGAGUGUGGUGAGAGAUUGUGACUGAAGCAGUCUCUGGACACUCUCCUUGCAAGUAAAACUUUAUUGACUCUGUCUGUGUCUUUCCUUACAGUUCAGUUCUACAAAUGUUUGGUGUCUAAACCUGACACAAUCCUUCUGCCAUUCGACUCAUUUUACCCUCUGCUAUGAAAAUCCAUCCUACUUUUCAUGUUUCACAAAUUAAACCUGUUUCUGAAAGUCCUCUGUGCCCUCCUACCAUCGCCUCUCCACCCACCCGGCUCAUCGAUAACCACCCUGCGUACACUGUGAGGCGCAUUCUGGAUGUUCGGCGCCGUGGGCGUGGUUUUCAAUAUUUGUUGGACUGGGAAGGUUACGGACCAGAGGAACGCUCAUGGAUCCCCAGAUCCUUUAUCCUGGAUGCCUCCCUCAUCUCUAACUUCUACAAGGACCACCCAGAGAAGCGCCCCAAAUCGCCUGGAGGCGAUGUUUGAGGAGGGGUACCGAGGCAUUCAGUGUUUUUCAUGUUCUCACCUGUUUGGUUCCUGAUUGGCUAGCACAUCCAAGUGGCUGCAGCUGUUACUAAUCUGGCUCAUCACUGUUGGCUUCAUAAGGAGGACCUGAAGAUCAGUUCUUCGCUGAUGCAUCGUUUACCUUUGGUAUGAUUCUCAGCCCCUCUUAAGAGUUUUUUUUCUUAGAGUUUUUAUAAUCCUGUUCUUUGUGUUCAGAUGCAUUUUGAUAUCUACCUGGACGAUCUUCCACUUGUAAUCAUGAAGCCCCUGAAAGAGAGCCACUCACCUGUCCUCGUGCUGCACUGCCUGUCUGCCUCUAACUGGAAACAACACCACUUACCUCAGAGAACCUCCUCUCACCUGGAAACCUUGGACCUACUCCUCAGUGCUGAGCCUUCACCUCCCUCCUGACUGAACCCCAAAACCCCAUCACCUGUAAAUAAAAGCACUUUUUUAUUCUGUCUCUUGGUCUGUUUGUCAUUGCAUUGCUCAAAACUUUGACUAAAACCUCGUACCUGAUAGGGCCUGUCACACUAGACAAUUUAUGCCAACUUAUGAAACAAUUUCUGUCUAAAUUGCUAAUAAAAGUUGCAUAAUUUUUUUUAGAAUUACAGGAUGUACACACCGAAACAAAACUUCCUGAUUUUUUUUUUUCAAUUCCAGCUUCAACAUAGACAUCUUUAAAAUGUUCAUAAGUUUUGUAGUAAGACAGGGCCUUGUUGAUUUUGCAGUUUUGUUGCAUUCAAAAUAAUAUUUAAAUUAAUAUAUCACAGGUAAUCCUCUGCUCAGAACAAAAUUGCUUUAAACUGCAUUUUUCUUGAUGUGCUGCAUUGAGUGACGUCUGUCUUUUAAAUAGUUUUUGUAGUAAUAUGUUGGUAUUAUCAACACAUAAGCAAACAUGUGUGUGUGUAUGCUUCUGCUAAUCAGUAUAUUACAAUCACACUGUCUCAAAACGUUAUCUUUAAUCUUGUUGGUUUUAUUUUGUUGGUU
Long non-coding RNA from Austrofundulus limnaeus, 1497 nucleotides. RefSeq lists it as uncharacterized. Lineage: Eukaryota; Metazoa; Chordata; Actinopteri; Cyprinodontiformes; Rivulidae. The transcript is spliced from 2 exons. The record is from RefSeq and is a predicted model, not a curated record.